Sarcophilus harrisii (Tasmanian devil) is the source of this 99-nucleotide small nuclear RNA. The record is from Ensembl. NCBI's taxonomy places the organism in Eukaryota, Metazoa, Chordata, Mammalia, Dasyuromorphia, Dasyuridae.
GUAUUCACUUCAGCAGCACAUACACUAAAAUUGGAAUGAUACAGAAAAAAUUAACAUGGCCCCUGCACAAGUCUAAUUCGUAAAACACUCCAUAUUUUU